AGGACGAACGCUGGCGGCGUGCUUAACACAUGCAAGUCGAACGAUGAAGGAGGAGCUUGCUCCUCCGGAUUAGUGGCGAACGGGUGAGUAAUACGUGAGCAAUGUGCCCUUGACUCUGGGAUAAGCGCUGGAAACGGCGUCUAAUACCGGAUACGACCCUCGGAGGCAUCUCCUGAUGGGUGGAAAGAACUUCGGUCAAGGAUCAGCUCACGGCCUAUCAGCUAGUUGGUGAGGUAACGGCUCACCAAGGCGACGACGGGUAGCCGGCCUGAGAGGGUGACCGGCCACACUGGGACUGAGACACGGCCCAGACUCCUACGGGAGCAGCAGUGGGGAAUAUUGCACAAUGGGCGCAAGCCUGAUGCAGCAACGCCGCGUGAGGGACGAAGGCCGUUCGGUUGUAAACCGUCUUUUAGACGAGGAAGAAGACGAAAGUGACGUACUGACAGAAAAGCGAACCGACUAACUACGUAGACCAGCACGCCGACGGUAA
RNAcentral lists this ribosomal RNA (493 nucleotides) under uncultured soil bacterium. RNAcentral describes it as "bacterial SSU rRNA". It matches the Rfam family "Bacterial small subunit ribosomal RNA", at positions 26 to 523 of the family's 1533-position model. The record is from RNAcentral.